Molecule: ribosomal RNA, 519 nt
Filed under: Stenotrophomonas maltophilia
Lineage: Bacteria; Pseudomonadati; Pseudomonadota; Gammaproteobacteria; Lysobacterales; Lysobacteraceae
Description: bacterial SSU rRNA
Rfam family: Bacterial small subunit ribosomal RNA
Source: RNAcentral
AGUGGCGGACGGGUGAGGAAUACAUCGGAAUCUACCUUUUCGUGUUGGAAAACGUACGGAAACUUACGCUAAUACCGCAUACGACCUUCUGAUGAAAUGAUGGGACCUUCAGGCCUUGCGCGGAUAGAUGAGCCGAUGUCGGAUUAGCUAGUUGGCGGGGUAAAGGCCCACCAAGGCGACCAUCCGUACCUGGUCUGAGAGGAUGAUCAGCCACACUGGAACUGAUACACGGUCCAGACUCCUACGGGAGGCAGCAGUGGGGAAUAUUGGACAAUGUCCGCAAGCCUGAUCCAGCCAUACCGCGUGGGUGAAGAAGGCCUUCAGGUUGUAAAGCCCUUUUGUUGGGAAAGAAAAGCAAUCAGCUAAUACCCGGUUGUUCUGACGGUACCCAAAGAAUAAUCACCGGCUAACUUCGUGCCAUCAGCCGCGGUAAUACGAAGGGUGCAAGCGUUACUCGGAAUUACUGGGCGUAAAGCGUGCGUAGGUGGUUGUUUAAGUCUGUUGUGAAAGACCUGGGCU